Molecule: ribosomal RNA, 398 nt
Filed under: uncultured soil bacterium
Lineage: Bacteria
Description: bacterial SSU rRNA
Rfam family: Bacterial small subunit ribosomal RNA
Source: RNAcentral
AGGACGAACGCUGGCGGCGCGCUUAACACAUGCAAGUCGAGCGAGAACCGGGACUUCGGUCCCGGGGACAGCGGCGAACGGGUGAGUAACACGUGGGUAAUCGACCCUCGGCACCGGGAUAGCCCGAGGAAACUCGGAUUAAUACCGGAUGGCCCCUCCGACUCUCGAGUCGGUCGGGAAAGGUAGCUUAGGCCUCUGGCCGGGACGAGCCCGCGGCGGAUUAGCUUGUUGGUGGGUAAUGGCCUACCAAGGCGACGAUCCGUAGCUGGUCUGAGAGGACGAUCAGCCACACUGGGACUGAGACACGGCCCAGACUCCUACGGGAGGCAGCAGUGGGGAAUCUUGCGCAAAUGGGCGAAAAGCCUGACGCAGCGACGCCGCGUGAGGGAAGAAGGCCU